AUUUCAUGAAGAGUGGCUGAGGGACGGGCCCUGUGACGCCACGACAACCGGCUCGAGCAAUUCGGGACAUCGGUGUCAACUCUCUCCUGCGUAACGGCGGGGAACAUGAGAU
Molecule: non-coding RNA, 112 nt
Filed under: Acidobacterium capsulatum
Lineage: Bacteria; Pseudomonadati; Acidobacteriota; Terriglobia; Terriglobales; Acidobacteriaceae
Also listed under: 1 other name
Description: SAM-I sequence
Rfam family: SAM riboswitch aptamer (S box leader)
About the family: The SAM riboswitch is found upstream of a number of genes which code for proteins involved in methionine or cysteine biosynthesis in Gram-positive bacteria.
Source: RNAcentral